Molecule: ribosomal RNA, 468 nt
Filed under: uncultured bacterium
Lineage: Bacteria
Description: partial 16S ribosomal RNA
Rfam family: Bacterial small subunit ribosomal RNA
Source: RNAcentral
GACGAACGCUGGCGGCGUGCUUAACACAUGCAAGUCGAACGGAAAGGCCCUGCUUUUGUGGGGUGCUCGAGUGGCGAACGGGUGAGUAACACGUGAGUAACCUGCCCUUGACUUUGGGAUAACUUCAGGAAACUGGGGCUAAUACCGGAUAGGAGCUCCUGCUGCAUGGUGGGGGUUGGAAAGUUUCGGCGGUUGGGGAUGGACUCGCGGCUUAUCAGCUUGUUGGUGGGGUAGUGGCUUACCAAGGCUUUGACGGGUAGCCGGCCUGAGAGGGUGACCGGCCACAUUGGGACUGAGAUACGGCCCAGACGGCUACGUGAGGCAGCAGUGGGGAAUAUUGCACAAUGGGCGGAAGCCUGAUGCAGCAACGCCGCGUGCGGGAUGACGGCCUUCGGGUUGUAAACCGCUUUCGCCUGUGACGAAGCGUGAGUGACGGUAAUGGGUAAAGAAGCACCGGCUAACUACGUG